CGAGCGGCGAACGGGUGAGUAACACGUGAGUAAUCUGCCCUUGGCUUCGGGAUAGCCACCGGAAACGGUGAUUAAUACCGGAUAUGACAGCGCCAUGCAUGUGGUGUUGUGGAAAGUUUUUCGGCCAGGGAUGUGCUCGCGGCCUAUCAGCUUGAUGGUGAGGUAAUGGCUCACCAUGGCUUCGACGGGUAGCCGGCCUGAGAGGGUGACCGGUCACACUGGGACUGAGACACGGCCCAGACUCCUACGGGAGGCAGCAGUGGGGAAUAUUGGACAAUGGGCGGAAGCCUGAUCCAGCAACGCCGCGUGAGGGAUGACGGCCUUCGGGUUGUAAACCUCUUUCAGUACCGACGAAGCGCAAGUGACGGUAGGUACAGAAGAAGCACCGGCCAACUACGUGCCAGCAGCCGCGGUAAUACGUAGGGUGCGAGCGUUGUCCGGAAUUAUUGGGCGUAAAGGGCUCGUAGGCGGUUUGUCGCGUCGGGAGUGAAAACGCCGUGCUUAACACGGCGCUUGCUUUCGAUACGGGCAGACUAGAGGUAUGCAGGGGA
This 551-nucleotide ribosomal RNA is filed under the name Nocardioides sp. by3. Its description in RNAcentral is "bacterial SSU rRNA". It matches the Rfam family "Bacterial small subunit ribosomal RNA", at positions 92 to 658 of the family's 1533-position model. Lineage: Bacteria; Bacillati; Actinomycetota; Actinomycetes; Propionibacteriales; Nocardioidaceae. The record is from RNAcentral.